RNAcentral lists this transfer RNA (76 nucleotides) under Candidatus Borkfalkia ceftriaxoniphila. Its description in RNAcentral is "Candidatus Borkfalki ceftriaxensis tRNA-Ala". It matches the Rfam family "tRNA". From Rfam's summary of the family: Transfer RNA (tRNA) molecules are approximately 80 nucleotides in length. RNAcentral also lists the same sequence under 1 other name. The record is from RNAcentral. Lineage: Bacteria; Bacillati; Bacillota; Clostridia; Christensenellales; Christensenellaceae.
GGGGAUGUAGCUCACCCGGUAGAGCGAUACGUUCGCAACGUAUAGGUAGUCGGUUCGAGUCCGAUCAUCUCCACCA